UCAGGCCUAACACAUGCAAGUCGAACGGCAGCACGGGUGCUUGCACCUGGUGGCGAGUGGCGAACGGGUGAGUAAUACAUCGGAACGUACCUUAUCGUGGGGGAUAACGCAGCGAAAGUUGCGCUAAUACCGCAUACGCCCUGAGGGGGAAAGCGGGGGACCGUAAGGCCUCGCGCGAUUAGAGCGGCCGAUGUCUGAUUAGCUUGUUGGUGAGGUAAAAGCUCACCAAGGCGAUGAUCAGUAGCUGGUCUGAGAGGACGAUCAGCCACACUGGGACUGAGACACGGCCCAGACUCCUACGGGAGGCAGCAGUGGGGAAUUUUGGACAAUGGGGGCAACCCUGAUCCAGCAAUGCCGCGUGAGUGAAGAAGGCCUUCGGGUUGUAAAGCUAUUUUGUCAGGGAAGAAACAGCAGCUCUAACACAGUUUGCGA
Molecule: ribosomal RNA, 432 nt
Filed under: uncultured bacterium
Lineage: Bacteria
Description: bacterial SSU rRNA
Rfam family: Bacterial small subunit ribosomal RNA
Source: RNAcentral